Molecule: long non-coding RNA, 575 nt
Filed under: Coffea arabica (coffee)
Lineage: Eukaryota; Viridiplantae; Streptophyta; Magnoliopsida; Gentianales; Rubiaceae
Description: long non-coding RNA (CARA_LNC004805)
Source: RNAcentral
UUUUUUUCUACUUUUUUUUUCUUUUUCAGAAAUAAAGGACAAUAAAUAGAUAUUCCCUCUUAGAAAAUAUAUAAGAAUAAUCAAAGGAGGAGUAUAACCUUUUAUCAACUAUAUCAAUCACUUACUUAUAAAAUUAAGUAAAGAGAAGAAAUCUCAUUAAACAUGUAAAAUUAUAGGCGUAAUUUUCCUCACUUUACCGAAUAUACUUUCUAAAAUGCAAAAGUCCUAAUUGCAUAAUAACCAUUUUCAAGUUAAAUGAGGACUAAACCUUCCAAAAUACAUAUAACAUUUCAACAAUUGGAAGAAUAAGGUUGGAACAAUUAGCCCUUUUUGAAUGAAAAUGCAAGAAUUUGAAGAACUUUUGGGCCAUAGUGAAAUAUUGGAAAAGAGUUUAGAAAAAUUUUUAUAGAGUUUCUCCUUAUAAAUGGAUGAAAACUCCCUGCCAACAAACCUAUUUUCUAGCAAAUUAUCCACAUGGCAAGCAUUUCAAACACAAUUCCAACAUUUCUAAGCAUUUAAAUCCACAAAAUAUCAUCACCUAGCAAGUAAAUGCAAGUUCAAUACUUUCCUCCCCC